CCCCUUAGAGGGCCUCUUAAUUGAGUGUGAUAAUUAAGUAGUUGUUUUAGUGAGUAAACGUUCAGGGAAUAAACCCCUAGAAACUGUAUAGGACAGCGUUUAGCAGCCAUGGAAGCUAAAUGUGCCAUUGUGUACAUACUUCAACAUUACCGCUUCGUUACAUGUAGUGAAACAGAGAUUCCACUCCAGCUUGACAAGUCGGGUUUAUUAAAACCACUUAAUGGAGUAAAAUUAAAGCUGGAAGAGAGAGCUCGGAGUUGAGGAUGUGAUAACAUCAAACUAAGAACAAAACUUGUCUUUUGAGACUUUAUCCAAACGCGUUCAUGUUUAUAUGCAUAUAUAGAGUAUAUGUAUAAUUAAAGGAAUAUUAAAUUAGAACAUGCUUAUACAGUUUAAAUUUUAAUCUAUUAGUAUGUUAAUAACUGAUCAGGAUCACUUAUUGAAAUUAUAGACACAUCAAAAAAUAGGUAUAAUUAUA
This is a long non-coding RNA of Saccostrea echinata, 478 nucleotides long. RefSeq lists it as uncharacterized. The record is from RefSeq and is a predicted model, not a curated record. The transcript is spliced from 2 exons. NCBI's taxonomy places the organism in Eukaryota, Metazoa, Mollusca, Bivalvia, Ostreida, Ostreidae.